Molecule: ribosomal RNA, 451 nt
Filed under: Tarentola boehmei
Lineage: Eukaryota; Metazoa; Chordata; Lepidosauria; Squamata; Phyllodactylidae
Description: partial 16S ribosomal RNA
Rfam family: Bacterial large subunit ribosomal RNA
Source: RNAcentral
GAACCACUUUUAACGGCCGCGGUAUCCUAACCGUGCAAAGGUAGCAUAAUCACUUGUCCUCCAAAUAAGGACUAGAAUGAACGGCUAAACGAGGGCCUAACUGUCUCCUAUAGCCCACCAAUAAACCUGAUCUCUCAGUACAAAAGCUGAGAUAAACACAUUAGACGAGAAGACCCUGUGGAGCUUUAAGCCCUAGUGCCAACACCCACACCACUAUUGACAUAGGCUUUUAGUUGGGGCGACUACGGAGCAAAACAAAACCUCCACGAUACAACUCCAACCCAGUCAAAGACCCACACGUCAAAAACAUUACGACCCAGUCCAACUGAUCACCGAACCAAGUUACCCCAGGGAUAACAGCGCCAUCCUCCCCAAGAGUCCAUAUCGCCAGGAGGGCUUACGACCUCGAUGUUGGAUCAGGACACCCCGGUGGUGCAGCCGCUACCAAAGG